AAUAGGGUUUGAAAAGGCAAAAGAAUCAGCAAUACGUUGUAGGAUCGAAGCAGAACAAGCUGGUGCUACUACGAAUGAAAAUAAAUCUAAAAAAAUGAAAAAUUACUUUACCCUACAACAACAACAACAACAACAGCAACAACAACAGCAACAGCAACAGCAACAACAACAACAACAGCAACAACAACAGCAACAACAACUUGGUGACAAUACUAGAAUAGAAGGUAAUAAUGGGUCAAUGGUUGAUACUACGUGUUGUAUAUUAGAACAUGAGGAUAAUGUAAUAGAUAAUAAAAAUAUGAAUGGUAAUAAUAUGUUACUAUCACAGAUGCAUACGUAUAAUACGAGUAAGCAUCGAUUAGCAGGUUCAGGACUAAAUAGUAGUAGCAAUAGUCAUGGUAAUAUGGCUUUGUAUAAUAAUAGUAAUAAUAAUAAUAAUAUUGGUAGCAAUGGUAAUAGCAAUGGUAAUAGCAAUGGAAAUAGCAAUGGUAAUAACAAUGGUAAUAACAAUGGUAAUAACAAUGGUAAUAACAAUGGUAAUAGCAAUGGAAAUAGCAAUGGAAAUAGCAAUAGUAAUAGCAAUGGAAAUAGAAAUAAUAUGAAUUGUGGUAGUAGUAGCAACCCUAUGAAUAACAUUGGUACAUGUGGUAGUAGUAAUAGUAGUGGUGGGAUAUUACACGUAAGUAAUAACAAUAGUAUUAUUAAUCAUCAAAACAACAAUAACAAAUUGAUGAUUCCUAAUAGUGACGGUCAAAAUAGUGAUAAUGAAUAUUCACCAACAAAAAGAACAAGGGCACCACGAGGAAGACGAAUGGAAAGUUUAACUGCACGUGCAAGCGCAUUGCCACAAGUCGAGGGAGUUCGAUUUGAUCCGCAUUCUUAUUCAUGGUUUGCCAAAUAUUUAGAACAUGAAGAUUCAAAAGAGCCUAAAAUAUCAAAAUAUUUAUUAAAAAAAUGGGGUUUCAAUAAAGCGCAUGCUUUAGCUGUGCAUACUGUGAAUUGUGCAUACAAAGCUGUUCCUUUCACAGAUGAAGAGUUAAUAAAUAUUUUCAAUAUAGAUGUAAAUAAUGUUAUGAAUAAUCAACGUAAUGUAAUGUUAGGUAUGCCACCGUAUAAUGAUAUGUACAAAGGAAUUGCCAAUGAAAACACAUUAAUGAAUGGAAAUAACAGUAUGGGUGUUAAUAAUGUAUUUAAUAGUAAUAGUUAUAACAACAAUAUGAUGAAUAUAAAUCAUAAUGGUAAUACUAAUAAUAGUACAACUAAUAAUAGUGGUAUGAAGAAUAUUGAGAAAGAUAACAGCAACAAUAAUAAUAAUUUAAAUAAUUUAAAUAGUAGCAGUAAUAGUAGUCAUAGUAGUAAUAGUAGUAGUAAUAGUAGUAGUAAUAAUAAUGUAGGAAACUCAGGAAACAUGGGUGCAACUAUGAAUAAUAUGAAUAAUGUUAAUAACAGUUUUAAUAAUAACAUGAAUACUUACAAAGGUAAUACAAAUGAGAAAAAAUUGAUGAAACAUAUGAAUAGUGUAAACGGUAUGAACAGUAUGAACGGUAUGAACAGCAUGAACAGUAUGAACAGUAUGAACAGUAUAAACAGUAUGAAUAGUAUGAACAGUAUGAAUAGUAUGAACAGUAUGAACAAUAUGAACAGUAUGAACAGUAUGAACAGUAUGAAUAGUAUGAACAGUAUGAGCAGUAUGAACAGUAUAAACAAUAUGAACCGCAUAAAUGGUAUGAAUGGUAUGGAUGGUAUGAACAGUAUGAACAACAUGUACAACAUGUUUAAUGGUAUGCACAACAUGCGGAAUAUGCACAACAUGCAUAACAUGCAUAAUAUGCAUAAUAUGCAUAACAUGUAUAACAUGCAUAACAUACAAAAUAUGAACAUGGGCAUGAAUGUGAGUAUGAAUCUAAACAAUAACAUGCACAACAUGAAUAACAUGAACAUGAACAAUAUGAAUAACAUGAAUAACAUGAACAAUAUGAAUAACAUGAAUAUGAAUAAUAUGAGCAUAAGCAAUAUGAACAACAUGAACAUAAACAAUAUGAACAACCUAAACAACAUGAACAACAUGAACAACAUGAACAACAUGAACAACAUGAACAACGCUUAUAAUGUGAAUACGAACGAAGGCAGAUUUAGUAAUAAAAAUACGAACAUAAAAAAUGUAAACCUUGAACAUACCCCUCUUUCAAAUAACAUCGAUAUGAGUAAAAUAAAUAAUGGUUUAGGUAACAACGAAAAUGAAACAAACAGAAAGAGUAUUACAAGUAUGUAUGCAACCACAAAUAAUAAUAACAAUAAUAAUAAUAAUAAUAAUAAUAGUAAUAAUAAUAAUAAUAAUAAUAACAAUAAUAAUAAUAAUAAUAACAAUAAUAAUAACAAUAAUGAUAAUAAAGAAAUUGAAUGUAACAAUGGUCGUAACUGCACUAAAGAUAUAAACAUUAAUGAUACCGAAGAACCAAUUAACAAUAACAUUGGUACCACGGAUGCUGUUUCAACUAUUACAAAUACCAACAAUACAGAUGAUAAUAAUAAUACUAAUGCCAAUGAUUUAAAUAAAUUAUUAAACAAAGAAUGUGAAAAUAUGGACAAGACUAGUGCAUAUGCAGAAGAAGAUAAUAGUAAUAGUAAUAAUAAUAAUAAUAAUAAUAGUAGUAGUAGCAGUAGUAGUAGUAAUAAUAAUGACGACAAUAAUAAUAAUAACAAUAAUAAUAACAAUAAUAAUAAUAAUAAUAAUAAUAAUGAUGAUGAUGAUGAUGAUGAUGAUAAUGGUAGAAAUAGCAACCCUAACGGUAAUAACAGUAGUAAUGAGAGUGCUACCAAUAUAACUGGUCAUACGUAUACAAAUAUAAUAAAAUCGUUUUUAUACAAAGGAAAUAAUACUAAUCCUAAUAGUAACAAUAAUACAUCUAACUUAAAAAACAGUACACUAACAUCAUCAACCCUUAACAGUAACAAUGUGUCAGUUGCUAAAAAUGAAUCUCACGUGGAUAUGGGAAAUACAAAUAAUCAAAGCACAUUAGAUAAUACCUGUAACAAACUGUCAAAUAAUGACAAUAUAGAUGAACAAGGUACUGUAUAUACUAGUAACAAUGUUAAUUCAUAUUCAAAUUUGGAUAAUGAUGGUGGUUGUGGUUGUAAUGAUAGUAAUGAUAGUAAUGAUAGUAAUGAUAGUAAUGUUAAUAGUGUGAAUAACAUAAACGACUACGAUAUAAAUGAUAAGAAAAACACGACUCUUAUACAACAAAAAAUAAAACAUUCAAAUUCAGAUGCAAUGGCAGGAGAUAGUGGUAAUAGUAUUAGUAAUAAUAAUACUUCAACUGAUGAAACUAAAAAUGAUUAUUCGAAAGAUGUAUAUGUUGAACAUAAUAGUAAUAGCAAUAAUGGUAACAGUAAC
This 3394-nucleotide long non-coding RNA is filed under the name Piliocolobus tephrosceles (Ugandan red Colobus). RNAcentral describes it as "lncRNA (ENSPTEG00000002741.1)". Lineage: Eukaryota; Metazoa; Chordata; Mammalia; Primates; Cercopithecidae. The record is from RNAcentral.